GAUGAACGCUGGCGGCGUGCCUAAUACAUGCAAGUCGAGCGAACAGACGAGGAGCUUGCUCCUCUGACGUUAGCGGCGGACGGGUGAGAAACACGUGGAUAACCUACCUAUAAGACUGGGAUAACUUCGGGAAACCGGAGCUAAUACCGGAUAACAUGUUGAACCGCAUGGUUCAACAGUGAAAGACGGUCUUGCUGUCACUUAUAGAUGGAUCCGCGCCGCAUUAGCUAGUUGGUAAGGUAACGGCUUACCAAGGCAACGAUGCGUAGCCGACCUGAGAGGGUGAUCGGCCACACUGGAACUGAGACACGGUCCAGACUCCUACGGGAGGCAGCAGUAGGGAAUCUUCCGCAAUGGGCGAAAGCCUGACGGAGCAACGCCGCGUGAGUGAAGAAGGUCUUCGGAUCGUAAAACUCUGUUAUUAGGGAAGAACAAAUGUGUAAGUAACUAUGCACGUCUUGACGGUACCUAAUCAGAAAGCCACGGCUAACUACGUG
This 497-nucleotide ribosomal RNA is filed under the name uncultured bacterium. Its description in RNAcentral is "partial 16S ribosomal RNA". It matches the Rfam family "Bacterial small subunit ribosomal RNA", at positions 28 to 507 of the family's 1533-position model. The record is from RNAcentral.